AGUGAACGCUGGCGGUAGGCCUAACACAUGCAAGUCGAACGGCAGCACAGGAGAGCUUGCUCUCUGGGUGGCGAGUGGCGGACGGGUGAGGAAUACAUCGGAAUCUACUUUUUCGUGGGGGAUAACGUAGGGAAACUUACGCUAAUACCGCAUACGACCUACGGGUGAAAGCAGGGGAUCUUCGGACCUUGCGCGAUUGAAUGAGCCGAUGUCGGAUUAGCUAGUUGGCGGGGUAAAGGCCCACCAAGGCGACGAUCCGUAGCUGGUCUGAGAGGAGUAUCAGCCACACUGGAAAUGAGACACGGUCCAGACUCCUACGGGAGGCAGCAGUGGAGAAUAUUGGACAAUGGGCGCAAGCCUGAUCCAGCCAUACCGCGUGGGUGAAGAGGGCCUUCGGGUUGUAAAGCCCUUUUGUUGGGAAAGAAAUCCAGCUGGUUAAUACCCGGUUGGGAUGACGGUACCCAAAGAAUAAGCACCGGCUAACUUCGUGCCAGCCGCCGCGGUAA
This 506-nucleotide ribosomal RNA is filed under the name uncultured bacterium. RNAcentral's name for it is "partial 16S ribosomal RNA". It matches the Rfam family "Bacterial small subunit ribosomal RNA", at positions 29 to 523 of the family's 1533-position model. The record is from RNAcentral.